UAGCCAAUGGGAAUAACAGAU
RNAcentral lists this microRNA (21 nucleotides) under Medicago truncatula (barrel medic). RNAcentral describes it as "mtr-miR2648". The record is from miRBase by way of RNAcentral. Lineage: Eukaryota; Viridiplantae; Streptophyta; Magnoliopsida; Fabales; Fabaceae.